Corticium candelabrum is the source of this 2008-nucleotide long non-coding RNA. RefSeq lists it as uncharacterized. Lineage: Eukaryota; Metazoa; Porifera; Homoscleromorpha; Homosclerophorida; Plakinidae. The transcript is spliced from 7 exons. The record is from RefSeq and is a predicted model, not a curated record.
UACAUGCAGUGGUCUCUCCCGUUUGCGACCACUUCAAGAGCCCACCAUGCAAACUUGGUCAUCAAAUGGAGGUGGUCUCAGUUAUGUAAGUGCAGGACUGAAGGUGGUCGCACGUCAAAGGCAGGGAAUCGCACAUGAUCAUGAGAAGGACGCGUAUUUUGUGUGCGUCGUCGGGAUUCGCUGCAGCAUGUUUCUAAUGAUGUAUACACUGUACAUGCACGACCAUUGUCUCUAAGGCAACAUGUUCAAUCUACCAAAUUUGGGCAAAGCUCUAGAGAAACGCUGAUGUCAAUAGAAAAUCGUUUCACAGUUUUUGGAAUGAUGGUUACUUGUCUAGCGGUCAUUUUGGUGGGUCUGGUAAGAAGUAUGGAUUGAGAUUGGAGAUCAUGCUAUUUCUGAACAGAUUGUUCCUUGCUGGAAAUGCCAAUUCUGUUUCAGAGGAGGAUAUCACACGUGUGCGACCGUGCCCCACAUGAUAUCUAAGGAUUUUACCAAAGAUCACCAGGAAAAUAAACAAGUACUAGAAGAAAUGCUCCGGCUGCUGCAGCAAAUUCUGAAAAAUAUUACCGGUAAGUGUAUGCACUCGCAUAUUAAAGAAUUUGUCUGCAGGUGUACAGACACAGUGACACACACACACACACACACACACACACACACACACACACACACACACACACACACACACACACACACACACACACACACACACACACACACACACACAAUCAAUCAAUCCCUCCAUCCAUUUGCUGCUUGUGCUUCAUGAUUACCAUAAGAGUACAGGAGAUGCAGGCCAAAAAACUUCAAGUCUACACUGCUCGAGGUCUGUCUCGACAAAAACAUUGGUGGUUAUAAAGACCUUGCUGUUUGAAAGUCUGAUGACCAAACUGACAUGGAAUACUGAGGCAGUAGAAUGACAACGUUGGUAACUAAUCAAACCUGCUUUGUUAGAUGCCUGAAAUUAGCAGCCAGGAUUGAGUACAGUGCAAAAGACUCACGGUUUUACAAGUCGUUGUUCUCGUCGUCAUUUUCUGUCAUCUCUGAGGCUCUUCUCUUUGUCAUCUGCUUCAUUGUUGAAUUGUCCUGCGCUAUGUUUGAUGAUGGAGCACCAAGAGUUAUGCUCUUCAGCUUUCUCGCUCCAGGAUUCUAACAAGUUACACUGUUUGAGGUCACCAGUCACAACAUCAUUCCAACUACGCUUCUGUCCAUCAACAUUGUGCUUGCAACCAACAGGAGCAGACACAAGAAGCUGCUUGGGUAAGCAAUCAUUGACAUCUUUGAGAGAUGUUCAAGAAAUGAAGUGUGAUGCUUCUGCUCCCUGACCGAGAUCCCCAAUAUAAUUCGAAGGCAACAAAUCAAAAAUGACUCAAAACGACGCCCACAAGACUCAAGGAGGACGGUGCACUCGAGACUAUACAGCAAGGUUGGAAGGAUCACACUGUUAAAAGAUGAACCCUGGUGCUUGUCUUGAUCUUAUACGUUAAUACCACAAGAUCCAAGAGAGAGACUGAAAGGCAUGAGGCUUUACAGAUUCCAGAAUUAAUCUCUGUGUCCAAUCCACAAUCAUUUUGAACAAUGCUUCCCAAGUACUGGAAAUGAGAGACCACUUCAAUAGGCUCGUCUCCAACAACAAGGUGGAUGGAUACAGGAGAUUGAAUGUGUGAGCACUCAGAUGGCCGAUAGAACAGCUAAGGGUUUUGUCUUUUUGCAGCUAAUAGUGAGACCUAGUUUCAUACAGCAGUUUGAUAAGAAAUCCAGCAUUGUGAUGAGGUCAAACCAAUUGUCAGAGAGAAGAGCCAUAUCGUCGGCAUACUCAAAUCAGUCACCAGAGAUUCGAAUCUCAAGGUCUUCCUGUUCUCGACAAGAUGGGCAUCAUGAAGGUAGGUUAUACUUUGAUGUCCUUUCCUUGUGAUCUGUGCUUGUCCAAAGCCAUGUGAAUGGCAAUGUCAAAGUAGAAUAAGGCAGGUGCCAACACACAGCUUUGCUGGACACUGCUGGCAUGCACACA